UUUGGUCGCCAACGAGUGGCGGACGGGUGAGUAACACGUAGGUAACCUGCCCAGAAGCGGGGGACAACAUUUGGAAACAGAUGCUAAUACCGCAUAACAGCGUUGUUCGCAUGAACAACGCUUAAAAGAUGGCUUCUCGCUAUCACUUCUGGAUGGACCUGCGGUGCAUUAGCUUGUUGGUGGGGUAACGGCCUACCAAGGCGAUGAUGCAUAGCCGAGUUGAGAGACUGAUCGGCCACAAUGGGACUGAGACACGGCCCAUACUCCUACGGGAGGCAGCAGUAGGGAAUCUUCCACAAUGGGCGCAAGCCUGAUGGAGCAACACCGCGUGAGUGAAGAAGGGUUUCGGCUCGUAAAGCUCUGUUGUUAAAGAAGAACACGUAUGAGAGUAACUGUUCAUACGUUGACGGUAUUUAACCAGAAAGUCACGGCUAACUACGUGCCAGCAGCCGCGGUAAUACGUAGGUGGCAAGCGUUAUCCGGAUUUAUUGGGCGUAAAGAGAGUGCAGGCGGUUUUCUAAGUCUGAUGUGAAAGCCUUCGGCUUAACCGGAGAAGUGCAUCGGAAACUGGAUAACUUGAGUGCAGAAGAGGGUAGUGGAACUCCAUGUGUAGCGGUGGAAUGCGUAGAUAUAUGGAAGAACACCAGUGGCGAAGGCGGCUACCUGGUCUGCAACUGACGCUGAGACUCGAAAGCAUGGGUAGCGAACAGGAUUAGAUACCCUGGUAGUCCAUGCCGUAAACGAUGAGUGCUAGGUGUUGGAGGGUUUCCGCCCUUCAGUGCCGGAGCUAACGCAUUAAGCACUCCGCCUGGGGAGUACGACCGCAAGGUUGAAACUCAAAGGAAUUGACGGGGGCCCGCACAAGCGGUGGAGCAUGUGGUUUAAUUCGAAGCUACGCGAAGAACCUUACCAGGUCUUGACAUCUUGCGCCAACCCUAGAGAUAGGGCGUUUCCUUCGGGAACGCAAUGACAGGUGGUGCAUGGUCGUCGUCAGCUCGUGUCGUGAGAUGUUGGGUUAAGUCCCGCAACGAGCGCAACCCUUGUUACUAGUUGCCAGCAUUAAGUUGGGCACUCUAGUGAGACUGCCGGUGACAAACCGGAGGAAGGUGGGGACGACGUCAGAUCAUCAUGCCCCUUAUGACCUGGGCUACACACGUGCUACAAUGGACGGUACAACGAGUCGCGAACUCGCGAGGGCAAGCAAAUCUCUUAAAACCGUUCUCAGUUCGGACUGCAGGCUGCAACUCGCCUGCACGAAGUCGGAAUCGCUAGUAAUCGCGGAUCAGCAUGCCGCGGUGAAUACGUUCCCGGGCCUUGUACACACCGCCCGUCACACCAUGAGAGUUUGUAACACCCAAAGUCGGUGGGGUAACCUUUUAGGAGCCAGCCGCCUAAGGUG
This 1399-nucleotide ribosomal RNA is filed under the name Lactiplantibacillus plantarum. RNAcentral's name for it is "Lactobacillus plantarum 16S ribosomal RNA". It matches the Rfam family "Bacterial small subunit ribosomal RNA". Lineage: Bacteria; Bacillati; Bacillota; Bacilli; Lactobacillales; Lactobacillaceae. RNAcentral also lists the same sequence under 1 other name. The record is from RNAcentral.